Molecule: ribosomal RNA, 497 nt
Filed under: uncultured bacterium
Lineage: Bacteria
Description: bacterial SSU rRNA
Rfam family: Bacterial small subunit ribosomal RNA
Source: RNAcentral
ACUCAAAGGAAUUGACGGGGGCCCGCACAAGCGGCGGAGCAUGCGGAUUAAUUCGAUGCAACGCGAAGAACCUUACCAAGGCUUGACAUACCCUGGAAUCGGCUAGAGAUAGUCGCGCCUUUGGGCUGGGGUACAGGUGGUGCAUGGUUGUCGUCAGCUCGUGUCGUGAGAUGUUGGGUUAAGUCCCGCAACGAGCGCAACCCUUGUCUCAUGUUGCCAGCGCGUUAUGGUGGGGACUCAUGGGAGACUGCCGGGGUUAACUCGGAGGAAGGUGGGGAUGACGUCAAAUCAUCAUGCCCCUUAUGUCUUGGGCUUCACGCAUGCUACAAUGGCUGGUACAACGGGUUGCGAUACUGUAAGGUGGAGCGAAUCCCUAAAAGCCGGUCUCAGUUCGGAUUGGGGUCUGCAACUCGACCUCAUGAAGUCGGAGUCGCUAGUAAUCGCAGAUCAGCAACGCUGCGGUGAAUACGUUCCCGGGCCUUGCACACACCGCCCGU